AGUAACACGUGGAUAACCUACCUAUAAGACUGGGAUAACUUCGGGAAACCGGAGCUAAUACCGGAUAAUAUUUUGAACCGCAUGGUUCAAAAGUGAAAGACGGUCUUGCUGUCACUUAUAGAUGGAUCCGCGCUGCAUUAGCUAGUUGGUAAGGUAACGGCUUACCAAGGCAACGAUGCAUAGCCACCUGAGAGGGUGAUCGGCCACACUGGAACUGAGACACGGUCCAG
Molecule: ribosomal RNA, 230 nt
Filed under: uncultured Staphylococcus sp.
Lineage: Bacteria; Bacillati; Bacillota; Bacilli; Caryophanales; Staphylococcaceae
Description: partial 16S ribosomal RNA
Rfam family: Bacterial small subunit ribosomal RNA
Source: RNAcentral